Molecule: ribosomal RNA, 404 nt
Filed under: Fusobacteriota bacterium
Lineage: Bacteria; Fusobacteriati; Fusobacteriota
Description: Fusobacteria bacterium partial 16S ribosomal RNA
Rfam family: Bacterial small subunit ribosomal RNA
Source: RNAcentral
UGGGGAAUAUUGCACAAUGGAGGGAACUCUGAUGCAGCGACGCCGCGUGAGUGAUGAAGGAAUUCGUUUCGUAAAACUCUGUUCUAUGGGAAGAAAAGGACUGUACCAUAGGAGAAAGCUCCGGCUAAAUACGUGCCAGCAGCCGCGGUAAUACGUAUGGAGCGAGCGUUGUCCGGAAUUAUUGGGCGUAAAGGGUGCGCAGGCGGCUUUACAAGUUGGAUGUGAAAUAUUGUGGCUCAACCACAAACGUGCAUCCAAAACUGCAAAGCUUGAGUUAAGAGGAGGUGAGUGGAAUUCCUGGUGUAGCGGUGGAAGGCGUAGAUAUCAGGAGGAAUACCGGUGGCGAAGGCGACUUACUGGACUUAAACUGACGCUCAGGCACGAAAGCGUGGGGAGCAAACAGG